AAAAUGUGGCUGGUGGACAAUUAUGGUAUCGUGGAGUCGAGAAAACCCUAAAACAAUAUUUUUGACAAGUUACACCCGCAACGAGCCUAAUUAAUAUCAAUCUUUCCAUGGACGGAUUGCCGUUACAUAACAGCGGGCCAACACAAUUGUGGCCGAUUUUAAUGACGUUGCCGGAUUUUGAUCCAAUGCCAGUGUUGGUGGUAGCCAUUUUUUGUGGAGCAUCAAAGCCAGAAAAUGCUGAGGGCUAUCUUCGUCAAUUGGUGGACGAACUAAACCAUCUAUCAGACCAAUGAACCAUUAUUAAUGGAAAAAUGAUAGAUAUUCAGUUACGUGCAAUAAUUGCUGAUACACCUGCGCGCUCGUUUUUAAAAGGAGUUGCGUAUCAUAAUGCAGUGCACGGAUGCAUAAAAUGUAAGAGUCUAGGCACUUUUAUUAAAAGCGCACGAAAGGUUGUUUAUAAAAGUGUUCAAGGUGAACCUCGCACUGACAAGGAACUAAAAGGCGUUGUGUACAAAGAACACGUGAAACGCACAUCUCCACUAUUUUA
Long non-coding RNA from Anopheles arabiensis, 547 nucleotides. RefSeq lists it as uncharacterized. The record is from RefSeq and is a predicted model, not a curated record. The transcript has 3 exons. NCBI's taxonomy places the organism in Eukaryota, Metazoa, Arthropoda, Insecta, Diptera, Culicidae.